Molecule: long non-coding RNA, 734 nt
Organism: Mus musculus (house mouse)
Lineage: Eukaryota; Metazoa; Chordata; Mammalia; Rodentia; Muridae
Product: predicted gene, 42252
Exons: 3
Source: RefSeq, a predicted model, not a curated record
UCUUCAGUCUUUUCAGGUCCUCUGAGUUUAUUACCAAGAUCAACCUUGCACAGAGGUGAAAGUCUCAAAAUGGAGCCCCCCAGACAUGAAUACAACUGACUCCAUGAUGGAAGUGCCAUUCAGGCUGCAAAGCUCAGCACACAGACAGCACCACCUGCCAAAACUGAAACAAAGUCCUGAUCCAUCAAAUCCCACAGUUUUGGGAAAGCCUAUAAAUGUAGUCACCUUGCUUUUGGGCUUCUAGGCAUCUGCCUGCAAGAAAGGAUGUCAGAACUGCAUAUCUAUUUCUGGAAAUAGCAUCUGUGCACUCUCCAGAGGACUCACACCCUGUGUCGCAACCUGUGUCCUAUGCUCUGCUCUCCAGUUCUAGCGACAGCAACUGAACAAUGUCUGUCAAGGUAGCAUAUACGACUUGCAAUAACCCAGUCUCACGGACUGAAUGAAACCAUUGGCAACUUUCUGGCUUGCUGCUUUUUUCCCCCCAAGCCAGAGCUGAAGCUGGUAAAGAAGCCAGGAAUUCCCAAGCUUUCCCAGGCAAGUGUCGAGAAACACUGGGACUCCUUCUUCUCCAUCUCUGUCCAUCUGCAGGCCAAGUGUGCACCAGUUACAGGCAGAGUCUGAAUCGAGCUUUGUGCAAGUCUCUGGAAAGAGAUCCAAGUUUUUGUGAUGGGUGAAAGUGACAGGGAAGUGGCAGGGACAUCUGCAGAGCUAGGUCUGUCCCUGUCUGCAGCAGA